AGGUGGCGACAGCGGCGGGGUUCCACCUCUUCCCAUUCCGAACAGAGAAGUUAAGCCCGCUUGCGCCGAUGGUACUGCAAUGCAAUGCGGGAGAGUAGGUAACCGCCU
Molecule: ribosomal RNA, 108 nt
Filed under: uncultured Prevotella sp.
Lineage: Bacteria; Pseudomonadati; Bacteroidota; Bacteroidia; Bacteroidales; Prevotellaceae
Source: RNAcentral